Long non-coding RNA from Drosophila ananassae, 465 nucleotides. RefSeq lists it as uncharacterized. Lineage: Eukaryota; Metazoa; Arthropoda; Insecta; Diptera; Drosophilidae. The transcript is spliced from 3 exons. The record is from RefSeq and is a predicted model, not a curated record.
UCAAAGGAUUAAGGGCAUUCCGGACUUUCCUGUAGUGAACCCAUUCGACUUGAUCACCAGCAGCAUCUUUCUGGGCUCUGCAAGUAAGAAGAAUAUGAAUAUCACAUCUAAAAUGAAUAUUUUAGGACCCACCUAAAUGAAUAUAUUUUCCUGAUCCAGUGUCCAGAGUCUCCUGGGUUUGAUGGGAGUAGUAUUCUUGGAAAAUCUUUGCUUCCUUUUUUUUGCAGCGGGCGUGUUAUUCACACGGUUGCACUCUUCAUCGUUGAAAAACUCCUUACAGCAUUCAUCCAAAAAAACAGAAUUGUAUGUCUUAUCUACGCUGUUUAUCGAGUUGUGUUCGGUCGUCAGCAUAAACCGACUUUCCUAAACCGAUGUUAGAAAUAAAUUACAAAAUAAAUUAAUAUUUGAGAAAAAUAUUUAUGAAAUAAAUCUUACGCGAAGACUGAUCGGUCUGCUCAUCCUGGA